AUAAGUCAACUUCAAAUAAAGGGUUCCCAUGCAUGCACUUACUACUAGUUUCAAAAUUUUCACUAGGAAUAUGCCCAACAUAAGAAACACAUAAAGAUGAAGUAGAUGGCAUUUCUAAGAACAUAUCACCUUCUAUUUCACAAGAGUUGUCCUCACAUACGUACAAACCAUCACAGGAAGCCAAAGGACCACAAUCAAAAUCAUUUUCACAAAGAC
This 216-nucleotide long non-coding RNA is filed under the name Capsicum annuum. Its description in RNAcentral is "long non-coding RNA (CANN_LNC010417)". Lineage: Eukaryota; Viridiplantae; Streptophyta; Magnoliopsida; Solanales; Solanaceae. The record is from RNAcentral.